CGGACGGGACCGCAGAGUCUGCCCCCGGUAUUCAGCUCGUCCUCUUCGUCGGCCGCGUCCGUCGCCAAACGACACCCUCUGAGCGGGUGCCAUGGCGGGCGUGAGCGCGGCGGGGGACGCGUGCACUUUCCGGGGUGCGGUGCGUCACGACCGGUUCGGCGGAGGUCAGAAGGCCGGCGGGAUGGUGGCCAGUCGUUCGCGUCUGGUGGUAUAGCCCGCCUGCGUCGCAGGCCCUCUGCCGGACCGAGGAGGAUCCGCGUCUGCCUUAGGGCGCGGGGCCCGGGGCCUCCCGUGCUGCCUCCGUGCCGGGACUGCUCUCGCAGUGCCGUGCGCGGUUCGGCGGUCGGGACGGACUCCGCUCCCCCCGUAACGGCGUCUAGGGUCGGUGGCGAUAUUGUCGGCAACCCGUCCGACCCGCU
Molecule: ribosomal RNA, 419 nt
Filed under: Platynereis jourdei
Lineage: Eukaryota; Metazoa; Annelida; Polychaeta; Phyllodocida; Nereididae
Description: partial 28S ribosomal RNA
Source: RNAcentral